Molecule: ribosomal RNA, 414 nt
Filed under: Triticum aestivum (bread wheat)
Lineage: Eukaryota; Viridiplantae; Streptophyta; Magnoliopsida; Poales; Poaceae
Description: partial small subunit ribosomal RNA
Source: RNAcentral
AUGGUGGAGUGCUCCUUGUCCCGGAGAUCAAAGACGCGGACGGAGCCAUCGGCGGAGACGGAGGCGAAGACGCCGGCCUCCCCCCAGGCGAUGUCGUGCACGGCCUUGUCGUGCGCGAUGAGCUGCGUCUCGACGACGCCGCGCUCGAUGUCCCAGACGGUGCAGGUGGUGUCGAUGGAGGCGGUCCCGAUGCGGCGGGGCUCGAUCUCGUUCCAGUCGAAGGAGGUGAGGGGCGCGCAGAAGUCGGAGGCGGAGGCCUUGCGGUUGUCGAGGACGGAGCGGAGCUCGGGGGCGGGGGCGGAGGCGGAGAGGUCGUCGAGGGGGGCGUGCCAGAGGCGGAGGGCGUCGGAGGAGGAGGCGAGGAGGGGCGUGGAGGCAGCGCGCGGGUUGAACUGGAGCUUGGUGGGCGGGUAG